Molecule: non-coding RNA, 783 nt
Organism: Podarcis lilfordi (Lilford's wall lizard)
Lineage: Eukaryota; Metazoa; Chordata; Lepidosauria; Squamata; Lacertidae
Source: the annotation of a GenBank genome assembly
GGCAGCCUCGGCUUCCCUCUGCAGCUCCGUGAAGCUUUGGAGCAACGGGAAGCCUGUGCGCCCAUGCCCCACGCUCCAGGGCUGCUGAAUGGGGUUGGGGGGUGCUGCUCUGCCAGCAGCCUGCCCUUCCCCUCAAGGUUUGGAGCAGUGGGCAGGCUGUGCGCCCAUGCCCCACACUCCUGGGCUGCUGAAUGGGGGUGGGGGGGUGCUCUGCCAACAGCCUGCCCUUCCCCUCAAGGUUUGGAGCAGUGGGCAGGCUGUGCGCCCAUGCCCCACACUCCUGGGCUGCUGAAUGGGGGUGGGGGUGCUGCUCUGCCAGCAGCCUGCCCUUCCCCUCAAGGUUUGGAGCAGUGGGCAGGCUGUGCGCCCAUGCCCCACACUCCUGGGCUGCUGAAUGGGGGUGGGGGGGUGCUCUGCCAGCAGCCUGCCCUUCCCCUCAAGGUUUGGAGCAGUGGGCAGGCUGUGCGCCCAUGCCCCACACUCCUGGGCUGCUGAAUGGGGGUGGGGGGUGCUGCUCUGCCAACAGCCUGCCCUUCCCCUCAAGGUUUGGAGCAGUGGGCAGGCUGUUCACUGAGAGAGGGGAGGAAGAGGACGGAGAGGAGGGGGACCAAGAAGCUGGGUGAAGGGAGAUGAGGUACCAUAGGUUGCCGUGAGUGGAGAGUCAUGGUAGAGGGCAAAGGAGAGGGAGCAGUGAAGGGGAGAAAUUGUAGACAUCACCUGAGGAGUUUGGGUGAAAGGAAUGGAGAGGAGGAGGCUGGAAAAGGGGACUGUUCUGCUUGGGGG